Molecule: ribosomal RNA, 599 nt
Filed under: uncultured bacterium
Lineage: Bacteria
Description: bacterial SSU rRNA
Rfam family: Bacterial small subunit ribosomal RNA
Source: RNAcentral
ACCGGAUGGCCUCUCCGGCCUUCGGGUCGGUGAGAAAAGGUGGCUUCGGCUUCCGGCUGAGGAUGGGCCCGCAGCCGAUUAGCUUGUUGGUGGGGUAACGGCUCACCAAGGCUCCGAUCGGUAGCUGGUCUGAGAGGACGAUCAGCCACACUGGGACUGAGACACGGCCCAGACUCCUACGGGAGGCAGCAGUGGGGAAUCUUGCGCAAUGGGCGAAAGCCUGACGCAGCGACGCCGCGUGCGGGAAGAAGGCCUUCGGGUUGUAAACCGCUUUCGGGAGGGACGAAGCCACUCGGGUUAAUAGCCCAGAGGGUGACGGUACCUCCAGAAGAAGCCCCGGCUAACUACGUGCCAGCAGCCGCGGUAAUACGUAGGGGGCUAGCGUUGUCCGGAUUUAUUGGGCGUAAAGAGCGCGUAGGCGGCCGGCUAAGUCCGACGUGAAAUCUGGAGGCUCAACCUCCAGCGGUCGUUGGAAACUAGUCGGCUAGAGUCCGGAAGAGGAGAGUGGAAUUCCUGGUGUAGCGGUGAAAUGCGCAGAUAUCAGGAAGAACACCGAUGGCGAAAGCAGCUCUCUGGGACGGUACUGACGCUGAGGCGCG